Molecule: ribosomal RNA, 491 nt
Filed under: uncultured bacterium
Lineage: Bacteria
Description: partial 16S ribosomal RNA
Rfam family: Bacterial small subunit ribosomal RNA
Source: RNAcentral
GAUGAACGCUAGCUACAGGCUUAACACAUGCAAGUCGCGGGGCAGCAUGGGGGUUGCUUGCAACCCCUGAUGGCGACCGGCGCACGGGUGAGUAACGCGUAUCCAACCUGCCCUUCACCACGGGAUAACCCGGCGAAAGUCGGACUAAUACCGUAUGUUGUCCAUUGACGGCAUCCGAUUUGGGCGAAAGGCUUGGCGGUGCAAGGAUGGGGAGGCGUCCGAUUAGCUUGACGGCGGGGUAACGGCCCACCGUGGCUACGAUCGGUAGGGGUGCUGAGAGGAAGGUCCCCCACACUGGAACUGAGACACGGUCCAGACUCCUACGGGAGGCAGCAGUGAGGAAUAGUGGUCAAUGGGCGUAAGCCUGAACCAGCCAAGUAGCGUGCAGGAUGACGGCCCUAUGGGUUGUAAACUGCUUUUAUGCGGGGAUAAAGUGGCCAACGUGUGGGCUUUUGCAGGUACCGCAUGAAUAAGGACCGGCUAAUUCCGUG